Molecule: transfer RNA, 87 nt
Filed under: Enterobacter cloacae
Lineage: Bacteria; Pseudomonadati; Pseudomonadota; Gammaproteobacteria; Enterobacterales; Enterobacteriaceae
Also listed under: 8 other names
Description: tRNA-Leu
Rfam family: tRNA
About the family: Transfer RNA (tRNA) molecules are approximately 80 nucleotides in length.
Source: RNAcentral
GCGAAGGUGGCGGAAUUGGUAGACGCGCUAGCUUCAGGUGUUAGUGUCCUUACGGGCGUGGGGGUUCAAGUCCCCCCCCUCGCACCA